CCUACGGGAGGCAGCAGUGAGGAAUAUUGGUCAAUGGACGAGAGUCUGAACCAGCCAAGUAGCGUGAAGGAUGACUGCCCUAUGGGUUGUAAACUUCUUUUAUAUGGGAAUAAAAUGUUCCACGUGUGGGAUUUUGUAUGUACCAUAUGAAUAAAGAUCGGCUAACUCCGUGCCAGCAGCCGCGGUAAUACGGAGGAUCCGAGCGUUAUCCGGAUUUAUUGGGUUUAACGGGAGCGUAGGUGGAUUGUUAAGUCAGUUGUGAAAGUUUUCGGCUCAACCGUAAAAGUGCAGUUGAAACUGGCAGUCUUGAGUACAGUAGAGGUGGGCGGAAUUCGUGGUGUAGCGGUGAAAUGCUUAGAUAUCACGAAGAACUCCGAUUGCGAAGGCAGUUCACUGGACUGCAACUGACACUGAGGCUCGAAAGUGUGGGUAUCAAACAGGAUUAGAUACCCCUGUAGUC
Molecule: ribosomal RNA, 460 nt
Filed under: uncultured bacterium
Lineage: Bacteria
Description: partial 16S ribosomal RNA
Rfam family: Bacterial small subunit ribosomal RNA
Source: RNAcentral